RNAcentral lists this long non-coding RNA (1740 nucleotides) under Monomorium pharaonis (pharaoh ant). RNAcentral describes it as "uncharacterized LOC114253781". The record is from RNAcentral. Lineage: Eukaryota; Metazoa; Arthropoda; Insecta; Hymenoptera; Formicidae.
AUAAAAAAAUCUUGAAAGAAAAAAUUUUCUAAAAAGUAAAAUUGUACAGAAAUCCUAAAGUAUUCCAAGAAAAAAACUUCACUAAGUUAUCCAAACAUUUUAACAUCACGUAGAUAUUUAAAUCGAAUAUCUGAAGUUCACAAAUACCAGUUUUUUAAUUCAUUUAUAUAUUCCACUGUUAUCUUUGGACACGCUAUUAAACACGAGAAUGCGUAGCCCGCUCGAAAUUGCGAUUUCGUGUUCAAAUCGAGUGCCUUGAACCGAAUAAGUUCAACGCUCAUUAACUUUCAUUCCGCGAUUUUUGAGAACGUAUAGGUAGAUAACUCUGAAACGCCGCUGGCCGUAAACAGCGGAUUCUCUUGAGCCGGGUACGCUGCGGUGGAAAAUGGUAGAAGGUGGGGUCAUGUGAAGUCGCGGGUGCAAUUAACGGGGGCACACGGCGAACUUCCGGUGCCGCUUCACGCUACAGCGACCCGUUGGGAACCGAAUGUCAAGAUUGCCGCAUUGUUCUUCCCCGAUAGCCGGGCGUUACUGCUACACCGUCGUGCACAAACAUCAUCACGGUUCCCCUUCCCCUCACUUUUCCCUUCCGUAACUAACAGGGCUGUGCUGUGCUCGAAUUAAUUCCUUUGAAUUCCGCAUUUUUACCGCAAGCCAGUAGUCUUCCUCCCGUAAUGGCAGAUUCGCGCGAAGCUCCGCACGCGCGUGUAUGAUAAAUUUUUGUAAGCUUAAAUUUCGAAUUUCUUUAACAAAUUUGAUUUUCUUCGUAGAUAUAAUUGCCCACGGUUUGGCACGUUCUGCGGAAAACGUCAACGUCGUAGGAAACAAUCAACGAAUGCAAGCUUGAAAACGUGAUUCGGAGCUUCAUGAAUCAUCGGGAAGCGACGGAUACGUGUCGCUCCCGAUGUGUGAAUUCGGAGGAACGGCGUGAUCGUUACGUCGUCGGACGUCGACAGAAGCGGAGCUUUUCCCGCUCUUGUUAGACAAUGAUUAAAGAGCGCGCGAAAUGGAACGGUUUACCCCGAGACCGGAAUCCUCCACGGCCCAGUCGACGUAGAGUCCGAUCGCGUCGUCCCUGGGCCCGGCCCCGAAACGGGGACUUUUCGGAUCCGCGCUGACUUCCACCGCGUGGAUCGUGACUUGCGUCGAGCCGGAAAUGCAGCUGCAAGUAGGACGAUAAACUUAGGGGAAUUCGUCGAAAAGCACAACGGUCAAACAACAUUUUUUUCUUUCUACAAGUGAGAUCCACAUCAAGUGGACAAAUAUACAAUUUUAACGUAGAGUUUACAAAUUUAAAAUAAAUUCCAACAGAAGAAAAAAUAGCAAGAAGCAAAAGGAUUAUGAGCCAAGCUGAUGCAUAUAUUAAAAACUUAUUAUACAAAAAAGUAAUCUGUAUUAUAAUUGCAAACGUUUUGAUUCCUAUCGGAUUAUUUUCAGUGCUUAACAUAUACAACUUGUACUAAACGCAUAUGUAUUGUCGCUCACAAAUGUCUACAAUUAGUAUUAGUAUGUUGAUUGUGAUGACAUUGUUGUAAAACUCUUGUCGCAGAAAAUGCCCGGUAAAAAAAGAAAAAGUUUUUCAGUCCAUUUUUGCAGGAGAGACAAAUUCCUGAGUAAUGAAAUUUGAAGAAAGUACUUGUCUAAAUUGUAAACGGUACCAAUGACUAUAUUAGGUGAAGUGAACAAUAUAGAGUUUAAUUAUAAAAAUAUUAAACGAUAACACACAUCAUAGUAAAAAAA